GUAUUCUAAAAAAUAGUAAUAUUAAAAUUCACGAAAUCAAUUGAGCUAAUUUUUAUAGAAUUUUAGAACAUAUGUUUAACGUAGUAUAGUUAGGCUAAUAAUAAAAAUUAGGGGUGAAAGGCUAACCAAAAUUGAAUAUAUCUUGAUAAUAAGGAAAUAUAUUAAGUAUAUUAAGCAACCUAGAAAUGUUAAGGUUUAUAGGGGUUAUAAAUUGGGAUUUGAUUUUUUUUGGAUUUUAUAAAAAAUACCAAAUAUAUAUUUUUAAAAUUUCUUACUUAUAUUUUAUAUUUACUACUUAUUUAUAUUUGCUAAUUGACCCAGUAAUAAAUAAUGAAUACAUUAGUAUUAUUAUAGUUUAGUUCAAGGAACUCGGCAAAACCAUCAUCUCGACUGUUUAUCAAAAACAUAGUUUUAAGUUAACAUUUAAAAUUAAACCUGCUCAAUGUAAAGUUAAAUAGCCGCAGUACCUUGACUGUGCAAAGGUAGCAUAAUCAGUUGGCUUAUAAUUGAAGUCUGGAAUGAACGGGAAUUCGGGGUGAUACUGUCUUAGAUUAAUUAAAUAGAAAUUACUUAAUAAGUGAAAAUUCUUAUUAAAAAGUAAAUAGACGAGAAGACCCUAGAAAUUUUUACAAAAGAUAACUAAUUCUUUUUGUUGGGGCGACAAGAUAACAUAAAACUUAUCCGAAUUCUUUGGGAACUUUAUAAAUAGCGCAAAUAAAUUACUCUAGGGAUAACAGCAUAAUUUGUUAGAGUUUGUGACCUCGAUGUUGGACUAGGGAGUGUUUUACUUAAAAGGUAAAAUAAUUGGCUCUGUUCGAGCUUUCACCCUACAUGAUCUGAGUUCAGACCGG
This 851-nucleotide ribosomal RNA is filed under the name Monacha cantiana. RNAcentral describes it as "partial 16S ribosomal RNA". Lineage: Eukaryota; Metazoa; Mollusca; Gastropoda; Stylommatophora; Hygromiidae. The record is from RNAcentral.